RNAcentral lists this ribosomal RNA (460 nucleotides) under uncultured Prevotella sp. Its description in RNAcentral is "bacterial SSU rRNA". It matches the Rfam family "Bacterial small subunit ribosomal RNA", at positions 338 to 795 of the family's 1533-position model. Lineage: Bacteria; Pseudomonadati; Bacteroidota; Bacteroidia; Bacteroidales; Prevotellaceae. The record is from RNAcentral.
CCUACGGGAGGCAGCAGUGAGGAAUAUUGGUCAAUGGACGGAAGUCUGAACCAGCCAAGUAGCGUGCAGGAUGACGGCCCUAUGGGUUGUAAACUGCUUUUGUAUGGGGAUAAAGUCAAUCACGUGUGAUUGUUUGCAGGUACCAUACGAAUAAGGACCGGCUAAUUCCGUGCCAGCAGCCGCGGUAAUACGGAAGGUUCGGGCGUUAUCCGGAUUUAUUGGGUUUAAAGGGAGCGUAGGCCGGAGAUUAAGUGUGUUGUGAAAUGUAGACGCUCAACGUCUGACUUGCAGCGCAUACUGGUUUCCUUGAGUACGCACAACGUUGGCGGAAUUCGUCGUGUAGCGGUGAAAUGCUUAGAUAUGACGAAGAACUCCGAUUGCGAAGGCAGCUGACGGGAGCGCAACUGACGCUGAAGCUCGAAGGUGCGGGUAUCGAACAGGAUUAGAUACCCCAGUAGUC